Molecule: ribosomal RNA, 408 nt
Filed under: uncultured bacterium
Lineage: Bacteria
Description: partial 16S ribosomal RNA
Rfam family: Bacterial small subunit ribosomal RNA
Source: RNAcentral
GACGAACGCUGGCGGCGUGCUUAACACAUGCAAGUCGAACGAAGUGGCGAACGGGUGAGUAACGCGUAAUCAACCUGCCCUUCAGAGGGGGACAACAGUUGGAAACGACUGCUAAUACCGCAUACGGAAGGAGGGGCUUGCGUCUGAUUAGGUAGUUGGCGGGGUAACGGCCCACCAAGGCGAUGAUCAGUAGCCGGACUGAGAGGAGGAACGGCCACAUUGGGACUGAGACAAGGCCCAGAAUCCUACGGGAGGGAGCAGUGGGGAAUCUUCCGCAAUGGACGAAAGUCUGACGGAGCAACGCCGCGUGAGUGAUGACGGCCUUCGGGUUGUAAAGCUCUGUUAAUCGGGACGCGGUACCGGAAUAGAAAGCCACGGCUAACUACGUGCCAGCCGCCGCGGUAAUUC